UGAACCUGUCGGAAUGAUCAUUACCGAGUGAGGGCCCUCUGGGUCCAACCUCCCACCCGUGUCUAUCGUACCUUGUUGCUUCGGCGGGCCCGCCGUUUCGACGGCCGCCGGGGAGGCCCUGCGCCCCCGGGCCCGCGCCCGCCGAAGACCCCAACAUGAACGCUGUUCUGAAAGUAUGCAGUCUGAGUUGAUUAUCGUAAUCAGUUAAAACUUUCAACAACGGAUCUCUUGGUUCCGGCAUCGAUGAAGAACGCAGCGAAAUGCGAUAAGUAAUGUGAAUUGCAGAAUUCAGUGAAUCAUCGAGUCUUUGAACGCACAUUGCGCCCCCUGGUAUUCCGGGGGGCAUGCCUGUCCGAGCGUCAUUGCUGCCCUCAAGCACGGCUUGUGUGUUGGGCCCCCGUCCCCCUCUCCCGGGGGACGGGCCCGAAAGGCAGCGGCGGCACCGCGUCCGGUCCUCGAGCGUAUGGGGCUUUGUCACCUGCUCUGUAGGCCCGGCCGGCGCCAGCCGACACCCAACUUUAUUUUUCUAAGGUUGACCUCGGAUCAGGUAGGGAUACCCGCUGAA
This 565-nucleotide ribosomal RNA is filed under the name Aspergillus fumigatus. RNAcentral describes it as "eukaryotic LSU rRNA". The stretch from base 209 to 362 matches the Rfam family "5.8S ribosomal RNA". Lineage: Eukaryota; Fungi; Ascomycota; Eurotiomycetes; Eurotiales; Aspergillaceae. The record is from RNAcentral.